GCUGGCGUAGCUCAGUUGGUAGAGCGGCUGCUUUGCAAGCAGCGGGUCGCGGGUUCAAGUCCUGUCGCCAGCUCCA
RNAcentral lists this transfer RNA (76 nucleotides) under SAR324 cluster bacterium. RNAcentral describes it as "tRNA-Ala". It matches the Rfam family "tRNA". Rfam says of the family: Transfer RNA (tRNA) molecules are approximately 80 nucleotides in length. Lineage: Bacteria; Deltaproteobacteria. RNAcentral also lists the same sequence under 1 other name. The record is from RNAcentral.